GGCGCCUUCGGUGUCCGAGUUGUAAUUUGAAGAUUGUAACCUUGGGGUUGGCUCUUGUCUAUGUUUCUUGGAACAGGACGUCACAGAGGGUGAGAAUCCCGUGCGAUGAGAUGCCCAAUUCUAUGUAAGGUGCUUUCGAAGAGUCGAGUUGUUUGGGAAUGCAGCUCUAAGUGGGUGGUAAAUUCCAUCUAAAGCUAAAUAUUGGCGAGAGACCGAUAGCGAACAAGUACAGUGAUGGAAAGAUGAAAAGAACUUUGAAAAGAGAGUGAAAAAGUACGUGAAAUUGUUGAAAGGGAAGGGUUUGAGAUCAGACUCGAUAUUUUGUGAGCCUUGCCUUCGUGGCGGGGUGACCCGCAGCUUAUCGGGCCAGCAUCGGUUUGGGCGGUAGGAUAAUGGCGUAGGAAUGUGACUUUACCUCGGUGAAGUGUUAUAGCCUGCGUUGAUGCUGCCUGCCUAGAC
RNAcentral lists this ribosomal RNA (459 nucleotides) under Meyerozyma guilliermondii. Its description in RNAcentral is "partial large subunit ribosomal RNA". It matches the Rfam family "Eukaryotic large subunit ribosomal RNA", at positions 124 to 588 of the family's 3401-position model. Lineage: Eukaryota; Fungi; Ascomycota; Pichiomycetes; Serinales; Debaryomycetaceae. The record is from RNAcentral.